This 385-nucleotide ribosomal RNA is filed under the name uncultured bacterium. RNAcentral describes it as "bacterial SSU rRNA". It matches the Rfam family "Bacterial small subunit ribosomal RNA", at positions 28 to 440 of the family's 1533-position model. The record is from RNAcentral.
GAUGAACGCUGGCGGUAUGCUUAACACAUGCAAGUCGAACGGAGUACUUCGGUACUUAGUGGCGGACGGGUGAGUAACGCGUGAGAAUCUGCCUUCAGGUUCGGGACAACCAUUGGAAACGGUGGCUAAUACCGAAUGUGCAGAGAUGUGAAAUAUUUAUAGCCUGAAGAUGAGCUCGCGUCUGAUUAGCUAGUAGGUGUGGUAAGAGCGCACCUAGGCGACGAUCAGUAGCUGGUCUGAGAGGAUGAUCAGCCACACUGGGACUGAGACACGGCCCAGACUCCUACGGGAGGCAGCAGUGGGGAAUUUUCCGCAAUGGGCGAAAGCCUGACGGAGCAAUACCGCGUGAGGGAGGAAGGCUCUUGGGUUGUAAACCUCUUUCUCA